This is a long non-coding RNA of Cucurbita moschata (crookneck pumpkin), 402 nucleotides long. RefSeq lists it as uncharacterized. The record is from RefSeq and is a predicted model, not a curated record. The transcript has 2 exons. NCBI's taxonomy places the organism in Eukaryota, Viridiplantae, Streptophyta, Magnoliopsida, Cucurbitales, Cucurbitaceae.
UUCAAGUGUAGAGUUGCUGAUGUUAAUGCUGUAUUUUUCAUGUUAAUUAUUGGCGUAGAUUUUGUGUUUGAGAAUUUUCAUUUUCUGUAGUCGAGUUGAUCUUUGAUUUUCUUCCGCUUUAUCUGAAUCUAUGGUUUUUGUUGCAUGAACCGAAAAACCUCUAAUCAACCUUUUCAAACUUCUUGAAAUGGUUUCCCUGAGAAGUUUCUGGUUUCUAGCUCGUUGGACUUUAGGAUUGUCGUUACUUUUGUCUCUUGAAGUGCGCUUGAUUUGAAGAAUCGCCGGAAAAGUAGUCAAUGUAGACAAUGGCAAUGGUAAGCUUCUGUACUUCUGUUUUGUUAAUGUUCUUAAGAUAUUUAUUUGAUAUUAUUGGAUUAAAUUGAAGCUGGGGUUUAGCUGUAC